AGUUUGAUCCUGGCUCAGAUUGAACGCUGGCGGCAGGCCUAACACAUGCAAGUCGAGCGGUAGAGAGAAGCUUGCUUCUCUUGAGAGCGGCGGACGGGUGAGUAAUGCCUAGGAAUCUGCCUGGUAGUGGGGGAUAACGCUCGGAAACGGACGCUAAUACCGCAUACGUCCUACGGGAGAAAGCAGGGGACCUUCGGGCCUUGCGCUAUCAGAUGAGCCUAGGUCGGAUUAGCUAGUUGGUGAGGUAAUGGCUCACCAAGGCGACGAUCCGUAACUGGUCUGAGAGGAUGAUCAGUCACACUGGAACUGAGACACGGUCCAGACUCCUACGGGAGGCAGCAGUGGGGAAUAUUGGACAAUGGGCGAAAGCCUGAUCCAGCCAUGCCGCGUGUGUGAAGAAGGUCUUCGGAUUGUAAAGCACUUUAAGUUGGGAGGAAGGGCAUUAACCUAAUACGUUGGUGUUUUGACGUUACCGACAGAAUAAGCACCGGCUAACUCUGUGCCAGCAGCCGCGGUAA
Molecule: ribosomal RNA, 518 nt
Filed under: uncultured bacterium
Lineage: Bacteria
Description: bacterial SSU rRNA
Rfam family: Bacterial small subunit ribosomal RNA
Source: RNAcentral